Molecule: long non-coding RNA, 549 nt
Organism: Panicum virgatum (switchgrass)
Lineage: Eukaryota; Viridiplantae; Streptophyta; Magnoliopsida; Poales; Poaceae
Exons: 3
Source: RefSeq, a predicted model, not a curated record
GGAGAGAAGCCGCACUGGCGUUCGGCGAGCAGGCUGCAUACGACCUCAAGUUAGGUGAUGAACACAGCGCGGCAUCUGCGCUUCUCCGUUCCGCUAAAUGCUACGCUUGGAUCCAUGAGGAAGACGAGGGGGCAAUCGCCGCCACGAAACUCGCAUUGGACAAGGCCCUCGCGUUGUUCGUCAAGAGAAACGAUCUGGAAAUGGCUGCCGUCAGUUGUGAGGAGCUGGCAGAGUUACAUGUGGAGCAGCGGGAGCUACAGACCGCUUUGGAUUUCUUCGAAAAGGCCGCGGAUUAUUACGGCAGCAAUCUCUGCAGCCGGAGCUGCAGAUUCGAAGCUGGUCGGCUGAGGUUUCUCUUGGACAACAAAGAGACCUAUCUUCAGUCAUCUGACCCUGACUGACGUUCACAAUUGUACGAGGUGUUUGCUACUGGUAUAAUGUAGCCCUCAUCCUUGGUUGUAAAACUACUGGCUCAAGCUUCUGUCAGUAAAAAUUAGACUAAGAUUAGAGUUGUUGACACUGUUUUCUGACACGUGUCAAGGGAGGUGA